RNAcentral lists this ribosomal RNA (528 nucleotides) under Triticum aestivum (bread wheat). Its description in RNAcentral is "partial small subunit ribosomal RNA". The record is from RNAcentral. Lineage: Eukaryota; Viridiplantae; Streptophyta; Magnoliopsida; Poales; Poaceae.
AUGUGCCCGCCCAGCGCCUUAUGUACACCCUGCCCAGUAGCGGCACGGAGCACCGCCGCGCUCUUGCAUUUGCCGCAGUUCUCCGAAGGCGUUAGGUUCAGGUCCAGGCAGAUCCCUCCGUCGUCGCACGAGGCCACCACCAUCUCGGUCGCCGCUGCCGCCUUGCUGCUCGGGGCGUUGGCCCCGGCCUCGGCCUCGGCUUCAACGCGGUGCCGGCGCAUGUGCCCACCCAGCGCCUGGCCGACGGCGAACUCGAGCCCGCAGACGGGGCACUCGUGCACCCUCGGCCUUGCCGGCUGCGGCGGCGCCUGGGGAGCCCGGCGGCCGAGGCAGAGCGCUGCGUCGUCGUCGACGCGGACGAGCGCGUGCUGCGGGGGUGUGUGGUGCAGCCUAGGGCGCUUGUGGCUGGCGCGGUGUCCCCCGAGCGCCUGGAACGUGGGGAACUGCCGGUUGCACGUCUUGCACUCGAACAUGCGGCCGCCGCCCAUUGCCUGCGGCGCCCCGGCGACGCCGCUCUGGUGGUGCUGA